RNAcentral lists this transfer RNA (66 nucleotides) under Aderitotermes sp. 2 TB-2017. RNAcentral describes it as "tRNA-Phe". The record is from RNAcentral. Lineage: Eukaryota; Metazoa; Arthropoda; Insecta; Blattodea; Termitidae.
ACUUGAAUAGCUUAUUUUAGAGCGUGACACUGAAGAUGUUAAUGAGGUAUAUAAUACCUUUAAGUA